RNAcentral lists this ribosomal RNA (433 nucleotides) under uncultured bacterium. RNAcentral describes it as "partial 16S ribosomal RNA". It matches the Rfam family "Bacterial small subunit ribosomal RNA", at positions 29 to 507 of the family's 1533-position model. The record is from RNAcentral.
AACGAACGCUGGCGGCAUGCCUAACACAUGCAAGUCGAACGAGACCUUCGGGUCUAGUGGCGCACGGGUGCGUAACGCGUGGGAACCUGCCCUUAGGUUCGGAAUAACUCCCCGAAAGGGGUGCUAAUACCGGAUAAUGUCUUCGGACCAAAGAUUUAUCGCCUUUGGAUGGGCCCGCGUUGGAUUCGCUAGUUGGUAGGGUAAAAGCCUACCAAGGCGACGAUCCAUAGCUGGUCUGAGAGGAUGAUCAGCCACACUGGGACUGAGACACGGCCCAGACUCCUACGGGAGGCAGCAGUGGGGAAUAUUGGACAAUGGGCGAAAGCCUGAUCCAGCAAUGCCGCGUGAGUGAUGAAGGCCGUAGGGUUGUAAAGCUCUUUUACCCGGGAUGAUAAUGACAGUACCGGGAGAAUAAGCUCCGGCUAACUCCGUG